GGGCUGGUAGUUCAACCUGGUAGAAUGCUCCGCUGGCAGCGGAGAGGCUGCGGGUUCAAAAGCGAGAGACUGCACUCUACGCGUACUGGCGUACGGUUGGGCAUUCCUACAGAAGCCCAACAGGACUCUGGAAUAUGUGAUCUCUUGUUGAAGGUCCCGCCCAGUCCA
This 168-nucleotide transfer RNA is filed under the name Candidatus Woesearchaeota archaeon. RNAcentral's name for it is "tRNA-Ala". The record is from RNAcentral. Lineage: Archaea; Nanobdellati; Candidatus Woesearchaeota.